UUUUAUGGAGAGUUUGAUCCUGGCUCAGGAUGAACGCUGGCGGCGUGCCUAAUACAUGCAAGUCGAGCGAACGGACGAGAAGCUUGCUUCUCUGAUGUUAGCGGCGGACGGGUGAGUAACACGUGGAUAACCUACCUAUAAGACUGGGAUAACUUCGGGAAACCGGAGCUAAUACCGGAUAAUAUUUUGAACCGCAUGGUUCAAAAGUGAAAGACGGUCUUGCUGUCACUUAUAGAUGGAUCCGCGCUGCAUUAGCUAGUUGGUAAGGUAACGGCUUACCAAGGCAACGAUGCAUAGCCGACCUGAGAGGGUGAUCGGCCACACUGGAACUGAGACACGGUCCAGACUCCUACGGGAGGCAGCAGUAGGGAAUCUUCCGCAAUGGGCGAAAGCCUGACGGAGCAACGCCGCGUGAGUGAUGAAGGUCUUCGGAUCGUAAAACUCUGUUAUUAGGGAAGAACAUAUGUGUAAGUAACUGUGCACAUCUUGACGGUACCUAAUCAGAAAGCCACGGCUAACUACGUGCCAGCAGCCGCGGUAAUACGUAGGUGGCAAGCGUUAUCCGGAAUUAUUGGGCGUAAAGCGCGCGUAGGCGGUUUUUUAAGUCUGAUGUGAAAGCCCACGGCUCAACCGUGGAGGGUCAUUGGAAACUGGAAAACUUGAGUGCAGAAGAGGAAAGUGGAAUUCCAUGUGUAGCGGUGAAAUGCGCAGAGAUAUGGAGGAACACCAGUGGCGAAGGCGACUUUCUGGUCUGUAACUGACGCUGAUGUGCGAAAGCGUGGGGAUCAAACAGGAUUAGAUACCCUGGUAGUCCACGCCGUAAACGAUGAGUGCUAAGUGUUAGGGGGUUUCCGCCCCUUAGUGCUGCAGCUAACGCAUUAAGCACUCCGCCUGGGGAGUACGACCGCAAGGUUGAAACUCAAAGGAAUUGACGGGGACCCGCACAAGCGGUGGAGCAUGUGGUUUAAUUCGAAGCAACGCGAAGAACCUUACCAAAUCUUGACAUCCUUUGACAACUCUAGAGAUAGAGCCUUCCCCUUCGGGGGACAAAGUGACAGGUGGUGCAUGGUUGUCGUCAGCUCGUGUCGUGAGAUGUUGGGUUAAGUCCCGCAACGAGCGCAACCCUUAAGCUUAGUUGCCAUCAUUAAGUUGGGCACUCUAAGUUGACUGCCGGUGACAAACCGGAGGAAGGUGGGGAUGACGUCAAAUCAUCAUGCCCCUUAUGAUUUGGGCUACACACGUGCUACAAUGGACAAUACAAAGGGCAGCGAAACCGCGAGGUCAAGCAAAUCCCAUAAAGUUGUUCUCAGUUCGGAUUGUAGUCUGCAACUCGACUACAUGAAGCUGGAAUCGCUAGUAAUCGUAGAUCAGCAUGCUACGGUGAAUACGUUCCCGGGUCUUGUACACACCGCCCGUCACACCACGAGAGUUUGUAACACCCGAAGCCGGUGGAGUAACCUUUUAGGAGCUAGCCGUCGAAGGUGGGACAAAUGAUUGGGGUGAAGUCGUAACAAGGUAGCCGUAUCGG
This 1528-nucleotide ribosomal RNA is filed under the name Staphylococcus aureus. Its description in RNAcentral is "partial 16S ribosomal RNA". It matches the Rfam family "Bacterial small subunit ribosomal RNA". Lineage: Bacteria; Bacillati; Bacillota; Bacilli; Caryophanales; Staphylococcaceae. The record is from RNAcentral.